AGAGUUUGAUCCUGGCUCAGAAUCAACGCUGGCGGCGUGCCUAACACAUGCAAGUCGCACGAGAAAGUGGAGCAAUCCAUGAGUACAGUGGCGCACGGGUGAGUAACACGUGACUUAUCUACCUUCGAGUGGGGAAUAACCUGGGGAAACCCGGGCUAAUACCGCAUAAUACUUACGAGUCAAAGCAGCAAUGCGCUUGAAGAGGAGGUCGCGGUCGAUUAGUUAGUUGGCGGGGUAAUGGCCCACCAAGACGAUGAUCGAUAUCCGGCCUGAGAGGGCGCACGGACACACUGGAACUGAAACACGGUCCAGACUCCUACGGGAGGCAGCAGUGGGGAAUUUUGCGCAAUGGGGGAAACCCUGACGCAGCAACGCCGCGUGGAGGAUGAAGCCCCUUGGGGCGUAAACUCCUUUCGAUAGGGAAGAUAAUGACGGUACCUAUAGAAGAAGCCCCGGCUAACUUCGUGCCAGCAGCCGCGGUAAUACGAGGGGGGCAAGCGUUGUUCGGAAUUAUUGGGCGUAAAGGGUGCGUAGGCGGUUUGGUAAGUCUUGUGUGAAAUCUUCGGGCUCAACUCGAAGUCUGCACGAGAAACUACCGGACUAGAGUAUGGGAGAGGUGAGUGGAAUUUCUGAUGUAGCGGUGAAAUGCGUAGAUAUCGGAAGGAACACCUGUGGCGAAAGCGGCUCACUGGACCAUAACUGACGCUGAGGCACGAAAGCUAGGGGAGCAAACAGGAUUAGAUACCCUAGUAGUCC
RNAcentral lists this ribosomal RNA (756 nucleotides) under uncultured bacterium. RNAcentral's name for it is "bacterial SSU rRNA". It matches the Rfam family "Bacterial small subunit ribosomal RNA", at positions 8 to 796 of the family's 1533-position model. The record is from RNAcentral.